UCAGGACGAACGCUGGCGGCGUGCUUAACACAUGCAAGUCGAGCGAUGAAGCUCCUUCGGGAGUGGAUAGCGGCGGACGGGUGAGUAACACGUGGGUAACCUGCCUCAUAGAGGGGAAUAGCCUUUCGAAAGGAAGAUUAAUACCGCAUAAGAUUGUAGUACCGCAUGGUACAGCAAUUAAAGGAGUAAUCCGCUAUGAGAUGGACCCGCGUCGCAUUAGCUAGUUGGUGAGGUAACGGCUCACCAAGGCGACGAUGCGUAGCCGACCUGAGAGGGUGAUCGGCCACAUUGGGACUGAGGCACGGCCCAGACUCCUACGGGAGGCAGCAGUGGGGAAUAUUGCACAAUGGGGGAAACCCUGAAUGCAGCAACGCCGCGUGAGUGAUGACGGCCUUCGGGUUGUAAAACUCUGUCUUUGGGGACGAUAAUGACGGUACCCAAGGAGGAAGCCACGGCUAACUACGUGCCAGCCGCCGC
RNAcentral lists this ribosomal RNA (477 nucleotides) under uncultured bacterium. Its description in RNAcentral is "bacterial SSU rRNA". It matches the Rfam family "Bacterial small subunit ribosomal RNA", at positions 24 to 518 of the family's 1533-position model. The record is from RNAcentral.